This 1497-nucleotide ribosomal RNA is filed under the name Periptyctus sp. DDM2265. RNAcentral describes it as "SSU rRNA". It matches the Rfam family "Eukaryotic small subunit ribosomal RNA". The record is from RNAcentral. Lineage: Eukaryota; Metazoa; Arthropoda; Insecta; Coleoptera; Corylophidae.
CAUGCAUGUCUCAGUACAAGCCAAAUUAAGGUGAAACCGCGAAAGGCUCAUUAAAUCAGUUAUGGUUCCUUAGAUCGUACCCACAUUUACUUGGAUAACUGUGGUAAUUCUAGAGCUAAUACAUGCAAACAGAGCUCCGACCGGAAACGGAAGGAGCGCUUUUAUUAGAUCAAAACCAAUCGGUGUCGGGUUCGCUCGUCAUCGUACAACUUGGUGACUCUGAAUAACUUUAAGCUGAUCGCACGGUCUAGCACCGGCGACGCAUCUUUCAAAUGUCUGCCUUAUCAACUGUCGAUGGUAGGUUCUGCGCCUACCAUGGUUGUAACGGGUAACGGGGAAUCAGGGUUCGAUUCCGGAGAGGGAGCCUGAGAAACGGCUACCACAUCCAAGGAAGGCAGCAGGCGCGCAAAUUACCCACUCCCGGCACGGGGAGGUAGUGACGAAAAAUAACGAUACGGGACUCAUCCGAGGCCCCGUAAUCGGAAUGAGUACACUCUAAACCCUUUAACGAGGAUCAAUUGGAGGGCAAGUCUGGUGCCAGCAGCCGCGGUAAUUCCAGCUCCAAUAGCGUAUAUUAAAGUUGUUGCGGUUAAAAAGCUCGUAGUCGAAUUUGUGUCCCGCGCCGCCGGUUCAUCGUUCGCGGUGUUAACUGGCGUGUCGCGGNNNNNNNNAAAGUUAGAGGUUCGAAGGCGAUCAGAUACCGCCCUAGUUCUAACCAUAAACGAUGCCAGCUAGCGAUCCGCCGACGUUCCUCCGAUGACUCGGCGGGCAGCUUCCGGGAAACCAAAGCUUUUGGGUUCCGGGGGAAGUAUGGUUGCAAAGCUGAAACUUAAAGGAAUUGACGGAAGGGCACCACCAGGAGUGGAGCCUGCGGCUUAAUUUGACUCAACACGGGAAACCUCACCAGGCCCGGACACCGGAAGGAUUGACAGAUUGAGAGCUCUUUCUUGAUUCGGUGGGUGGUGGUGCAUGGCCGUUCUUAGUUGGUGGAGCGAUUUGUCUGGUUAAUUCCGAUAACGAACGAGACUCUAGCCUGCUAACUAGGCGUAUUAGACAUCCUAAAGGCCCGCCAGUCCGGAGUUCGCUUCGUGGCUAGCGCGGUUUUUACUGUNUGCGUACAUUAUUUUCUUCUUAGAGGGACAGGCGGCUUCUAGCCGCACGAGAUUGAGCAAUAACAGGUCUGUGAUGCCCUUAGAUGUUCUGGGCCGCACGCGCGCUACACUGAAGGAAUCAGCGUGUCUUCCCUGGCCGAACGGCCCGGGUAACCCGCUGAACCUCCUUCGUGCUAGGGAUUGGGGCUUGCAAUUGUUCCCCAUGAACGAGGAAUUCCCAGUAAGCGCGAGUCAUAAGCUCGCGUUGAUUACGUCCCUGCCCUUUGUACACACCGCCCGUCGCUACUACCGAUUGAAUGAUUUAGUGAGGUCUUCGGACCGGUGCGCGGUGGCGUUUCGACGUCGCCGAUGUNGCNGGGAAGAUGACCAAACUUGAUCAUUUAGA